Numida meleagris (helmeted guineafowl) is the source of this 2091-nucleotide long non-coding RNA. RefSeq lists it as uncharacterized. The record is from RefSeq and is a predicted model, not a curated record. NCBI's taxonomy places the organism in Eukaryota, Metazoa, Chordata, Aves, Galliformes, Numididae. The transcript is spliced from 12 exons.
GGCCCGCCCCCGCCCCAGGCGACUGUCAAGUACAGGCCUCGCGCUUGGCUCGAGCGCGGUUGUUUUCCAGCUCCCGUGCGCGCGUUCGCGCGCGGGGCGGCGGCCGCCCCUGGGACUCGGUGUGAGGGGAGCGCUGCUGUCCCUGUGGCGGUCCGGUGAAAGUGGGGUCCGGCCCGUUCCUUCAGCCCUAAGCAGGCGUCUGGUUCAGUUCUCUGUGUGACAGGGAGAGGCGGCAGUGCAGUGCGCUGUGUCUCAUCGUUCACUGAGUUGUGUCUGUGAUUGCAUUAUGUGAAAGCAUGACAGUGACAGGGGUACCAACACUGCCACGCGAACAGAUGCGAUCCUCAGACAUUGCAGGCGUCUGUGGUCUCUCUGAGGGAGCCUACGUUCCUGGUGUGCUGCAGCUCUCGGACAUCCCUGCACUAUGGGGACUGGCUCUGCAACACAGCAAUGCUGGGGGGAGUUUUCCUUCACCUCAUGUGGUUAGACAACAUUGUCUCUUCAGGCACAGUACUUCUGUAAGGGAGAAUGUCAGUGCUGCUGGACAGGAGAAUUGGCUGCAGAGUGGCUUUCCAGGAAUUUGAGCAUAUGCUGUUGCAAAAGGUUGUAUUCCGUUCUUCUGCUCCCCUGCCUCAACCCCCUUCCCAAAUCGGGAUCAGGCAAUGGCACAACCAUAGUAGCCACAAAAUUGAGGGUGUGAUUUGGCCGUCUGAGGAUCUCUCGCCUGGCUUUUUGAAGCUUUCAGCUGGCUCUGAGGGCCAUAUCCUGUUCCAGCUGUAUCUGCACAAGUGCUGAGACUGCUGCAGGAGAACACUGGUGGGGAAAUUUGUCUGUGAAUUUUCAAAAAGACUGAAGAUGAUCAGUGCUGGGAAACCUGAGCUGUUGGCUGUCUCAUUUAAGAAAAUUGUUCCGAGUUCAUCAUUGUUCUCCAUGAAGUGUAGCAGAGUCCUUUGCUAGUAUGUGACCAGUGGCACUGAGACAAAGGAUGAUCUUCAGAACGUGUUAACUGCGGGGGAGCCGGGGGGGCAAAUUUCACAGAGGUCACAGAGAAGGGUCUGUCCCAGCUCAGUGGAGGAUGUCUCCUCGUCUCCAGUAAUACAAAGUGGUUUCUGAUUUGUGAGAGAAGAUGGGAACUGGGAGGCAAAGGAUUUGACAGUGCUUCUGCCAAGCACUGUUGGAAUGAUGCUGCAACACUCCAGUCAGGACUGACUGCUGAGAGAAUGACAGAGAAAUGAGGUUACCAUGAAACUGAGAGAACAGUGAUCUACAUUUUGCGACAGGCUCCCUUGUCCGGUGGUACCUCAGGGGAGGGACUGUGAAAGUGCAAGAAUCAUCAUCCAAUCUUGAAGAACAUCCCCUAAGGUCCUGUGGCUGUCAGGUCCCAUUCAUUCUGCAGAAGGAGAGAUCCAUGCGGUCACAGACUACUAUGGCAAUUUAUCCUGCUGCCUCCAGACAAAGCUCCCAUUGAGAGAAGAUGAGCGACUUGGUUGUCUGUGUAAAGGCUGGACAUUAGACACCAUUUACCCCAUCCUUAAGAAGGCUCUUAAAAUUAACCAACAACAUCAACUAACAGCAGUAUUCCUUAGGUGAAGUUAGCCAGGAGCUACGCUCCUGUCUCGCCUGGGUUCUGCACUGACUGGAGAAGCAUUGAAACUGGAACAUCACCAAAGGCAGUGAAACAAAAACUGAGCAAUUGAGACAGCCUUUCUCAGCUGGGCGUGAGGUGCUGCAGGAACGGAGCGGAGCCUGUGAGGCAGAUGACCUGACAGUUUGAGUCCAGCAUGGAGGUAAGUCCGCGUUCCAUAGGGACACCUGAGCAUAUGCUGUAAUGUACUAUGACCUGCAAAUGUUGCUAUCCGCAGUUAAAAAUGCAAGGCGGAAAUUUGUUUAGCCUUUUUGUGUAUGCUCUGGCUUGUUGCUUCGGAGGAGGAGUGUGCUUUUGUAGCAUCUCGUAUGUGGCUGUGUCUUACUGCUGCUUGGGCUGUUGAUGUUUUUUAUUCCUGCACGCCUCUGAAAAGGGGCCUUGCACGCUACAGAUCAUAUGUGAGAGUCGUUUUCCUAAAAGGGGGAAUAAACAGUCAUGAGAUGAAA